This 464-nucleotide ribosomal RNA is filed under the name uncultured bacterium. RNAcentral's name for it is "partial 16S ribosomal RNA". It matches the Rfam family "Bacterial small subunit ribosomal RNA", at positions 28 to 507 of the family's 1533-position model. The record is from RNAcentral.
GACGAACGCUGGCGGCGUGCUUAACACAUGCAAGUCGAACGGAAAGGCCCUGCUUGCCGGGUACUCGAGUGGCGAACGGGUGAGUAACACGUGGGUGAUCUGCCCUGCACUUCGGGAUAAGCCUGGGAAACUGGGUCUAAUACCGGAUAGGAGCCAUUUUUAGUGUGAUGGUUGGAAAGUUUUUUCGGUGUAGGAUGAGCUCGCGGCCUAUCAGCUUGUUGGUGGGGUAAUGGCCUACCAAGGCGGCGACGGGUAGCCGGCCUGAGAGGGUGGACGGCCACAUUGGGACUGAGAUACGGCCCAGACUCCUACGUGAGGCAGCAGUGGGGAAUAUUGCACAAUGGGCGCAAGCCUGAUGCAGCGACGCCGCGUGGGGGAUGACGGCCUUCGGGUUGUAAACUCCUUUCGCUAGGGACGAAGCUUUUGUGACGGUACCUAGAUAAGAAGCACCGGCUAACUACGUG